RNAcentral lists this long non-coding RNA (451 nucleotides) under Bos taurus (domestic cattle). RNAcentral describes it as "long non-coding RNA NONBTAT022647". The record is from RNAcentral. Lineage: Eukaryota; Metazoa; Chordata; Mammalia; Artiodactyla; Bovidae.
GUUCUUAGAUGGGAAGAAACAGCUUCCACCAGCCAGUACUGUUGCUUACAUAUUGCUUUUUAUAUUUAGAAAUUCUUCCUUACUAAAGUUACUGGCAUUUAUGUAGAGUACAAACAAAUCAUUAGUGUGAAUUUGGAACUACAUUUUAUUUAAAGAGUCUCAGACAACCUAAUUUCCUGUCUGUAUUUUUUAUAUGGGAUAUAUAAAGUUUUGAGGCUAAGUCUUCAGCAUUAAAAAUAAUCUUUUAGGAUCCAUUUGUAUAAAACUCAUCUUGGCCUAUACACCUUUAAUGUUGGAAACUUUAGCUCAUGCAGAUUAAAAACAAGUCAUUGUCUAACCUCUAGAAGAGAAUGUCCCACAAAGCACCCUCAAGUCUCAUUUGGAGACUUAUCUGCAAUGCUUGUCAUUUAAUACUAUAGUAUGGUAUAAUGUCAGUAUUUAUAAGGCAAGG